Molecule: non-coding RNA, 72 nt
Organism: Aphidius gifuensis
Lineage: Eukaryota; Metazoa; Arthropoda; Insecta; Hymenoptera; Braconidae
Source: the annotation of a RefSeq genome assembly
GGGGGUAUAGCUCAGUGGCAGAGCGCCCGACUGCAGAUCGGAUGGUCCUUGGUUCAAAUCCGAGUGCCCCCU